ACGAACGCUGGCGGCGUGCUUAACACAUGCAAGUCGAACGGUGAAGCGCCUUCCUUUUUGGUGGGUGUGGAUGAGUGGCGAACGGGUGAGUAACACGUGAGUAACCUGCCCCCUUCUUCUGGAUAACCGCAUGAAAGUGUGGCUAAUACGGGAUAUUCUGGGUCUGUCGCAUGAUGGGUCUGGGAAAGAUAUUGUUUCGGUGGGGGAUGGGCUCGCGGCCUAUCAGCUUGUUGGUGGGGUGAUGGCCUACCAAGGCGGUGACGGGUAGCCGGCCUGAGAGGGUGGACGGUCACGCUGGGACUGAGACACGGCCCCGACUCCUACGGGAGGCAGCAGUGGGGACUAUUGCACGCUGGGCGCGAGCCUGAUGCAGCGACGCCGCGUGAGGGAUGGAGGCCUUCGGGUUGUGAACCUCUUUCGCCAGUGAAGCAGGCCUGCCUCGUUUGUGGGUGGGUUGACGGUAGCUGGAUAAGAAGCGCCGGCUAACUACGUG
RNAcentral lists this ribosomal RNA (493 nucleotides) under uncultured bacterium. RNAcentral's name for it is "partial 16S ribosomal RNA". It matches the Rfam family "Bacterial small subunit ribosomal RNA", at positions 29 to 507 of the family's 1533-position model. The record is from RNAcentral.